GGAAAAGACCACCCGCUGAGUUUAAGCAUAUCAAUAA
This 37-nucleotide ribosomal RNA is filed under the name Plagiomnium ciliare. RNAcentral's name for it is "partial 28S ribosomal RNA". Lineage: Eukaryota; Viridiplantae; Streptophyta; Bryopsida; Bryales; Mniaceae. The record is from RNAcentral.